Long non-coding RNA from Lutra lutra (Eurasian river otter), 2122 nucleotides. RefSeq lists it as uncharacterized. Lineage: Eukaryota; Metazoa; Chordata; Mammalia; Carnivora; Mustelidae. The transcript is spliced from 6 exons. The record is from RefSeq and is a predicted model, not a curated record.
CGCCCCGCCCCUGCAGGUCCUCGCCGGGUGUCCGCCCCCCCCCCCCCGCGCCCCUCAAAGUAAUAGUUUCCUUGUAUUUUAUGAUGGUAAGAAGAAAACUGCUUUCAAAAAGUGCCUGCUCCUUGCAAAACUGAUACAGAUAAACAGAAACAAAUGGCAGCAGUACUGCUUAAAAUUGCCUAAGCGGAAAGCAAAAAGGGAAGUAAUCAUAAAGACAGCAAACCUGGGUGCCUCCUGGGAUUCAAGAGCAGGACCCAGACAAAGUCUCGGGAAGGACUGAGUUGGUGAUUCAUCAGGAAGCAGUGGAAGAAAUACUGAUAAGGUCAGUUAGGAUGAAGAAAUAAUGUAUACUCAACUCAGGCCAUUAGUUCCUACUACUUCAGUGGCUGAUCCAUAAAAUGAGAUGCCUUUGGAACAUCCAUGUGUCAACAUAAAGUUUGCUGUUGUAAAUGUUUGUCUGAAACUCAUGAAAGAGGUUCCCAGGUUGCUGUCAGUGAGGGAAGAGAACACACACUGACUCCAAGCUCCUGUGGCCACAUCUUAUACUAGGUCCUUCAUUUUAUCUUCACAACUACUCUGUGAGGAAGGAACUGCGAUCUACAUUUUAUAUCUAGGAGGAAAAAAGGACUCAGAAGAAGAAGAAACCAAAAUCUAGGUCUAUCUGAAUCGGGACUCCAUUUUCUUUCUAAUCCAUAAGACCACCUCCCAUAAUUCAAUCAGUGAAUUGAUGCUUUCUGCCAGGACGGGUAAUAUACCAUCUACCCCCUAACGGUUUGCACUUCAGUGAGAGAGACAGAGAAGAUACAGGUAAAUUCAAUGAUAUGAUAGUGCUAUGAUAAGGUCCAAUGGGAAUGCACAGGGGGGGAACCUAACUUGGGCUUUGGGGUCAGAAAAGUCUCUACCAAAGAGAAAAUAUCUCUGCUGAACCAAGAAAGACUAAUAAGAAUCACGAAGAGAACUGGGUUAGGAAGCAUGAUCUCAGGCAGAGGUUGUAGUGAGAACAAAUGCCUGAAACGGGGAGAGUUGGAAGGCUGCACACAGUUCAGGGUGGCUGGAGCCAAACCAGAGGUAGCGUGUGAGACAGAGGUAAGCAAGGCCAGCUGGAAUGUAGGUUGAGGGUACAGGAAACCAUUAGAUCCUUUUAACAGAGGAGAUUUGCAUAUGAGAUUUGCAUAUGAAAAAGAAUCUCUCUGGCUAGCUAGAAGGUAGAGAAUGGACUCUAGAGGGAACUAAAGAAGAGAAAGCAGGGAAACCCAUUAGCAGGUGAAGGCCACAGUCCAGGUAAGAGAUGAUUACAGUACAAAUUAAGGUAAUGGCCCCCUAGAUAAGGAGGGGUAGAAGGAAAUCCAGGUUGGAGACUGGAUGGGACUUGGCGGUUGAUUAGAUGUUAAGAGAUGUGGAAAAUAGCUAAAGAAUCAAGAAUAAUAUUCAUGUUAUGAAUUGGGCAACUGUGUGGAUGGUAGAGUCAUUAGAGAGAUAGACAAGAAAGGGCAAGUAUGAAGGAAUAUUGAUGCAUUUCACUUGAGACAUGUGGAAGCGAGGUGCCAGUGGGACACCCAGAGCAGGCUGUCUGAUAGACAGUGGUCUACAGGUUUGUGGCUGAGGAGAAGGAACUGUUGGGAUAGAAGCAGAGGUUUGAGUUUCAUCAAUGGUAACUUAAGCAGUAGGGGUAUAUGAAUACUCCAAAAGAUAUAAAAGGAGGGGAAAAGUGGGUUGAAGAAGGAACUGAGACACACAAACAUUUAGGAGUUAAGUAGAAGAAAGACCUUCAAAGAGACUGAGAAGAAGCCAGAGAAACAGGAGGAAAAACCGAAAAAGUAUAGUCUUGUAUAAGGAAAGGGAAGAUAGGAGUAGAGGUAAAGAUGCUGACAGUAUAACUAGUUUCAACAGUAGGGAAGUUAUGGGUGUAUUUUCUGAGAGCAAUCUAAGCCAGUCUGCAGUGGGGUGAGGGGAGACUGGAUGGUAAGCAAAUGCAGAUGGUGAGACUAGAAAACUUCUUCAAGUUUGAGCUUCAUGUUGGGUGUAGAGAUUACUUAAAUGAAUAAAACUUUAAAAAAAGAAAAGAAAAGAAAACUCCUUCAAAAUAUCUGUUUGAAUGGGAUUGUGAGGGAAACAAACCAUA